GACGAACGCUGGCGGCGUGCUUAACACAUGCAAGUCGAACGGAAAGGCCCUGCUUUUGUGGGGUGCUCGAGUGGCGAACGGGUGAGUAACACGUGAGUAACCUGCCCUUGACUUUGGGAUAACUUCAGGAAACUGGGGCUAAUACCGGAUAGGAGCUCCUGCUGCAUGGUGGGGGUUGGAAAGUUUCGGCGGUUGGGGAUGGACUCGCGGCUUAUCAGCUUGUUGGUGGGGUAGUGGCUUACCAAGGCUUUGACGGGUAGCCGGCCUGAGGGGGUGACCGGCCACCUUGGUCCUGCGAGACGCACCAGACUCCUACGGGACGCAGCAGUGGGGAAUAUUGCGCAGUGGGCGGAAGCCUGAUGCAGCAACGCCGCGUGCGGGAUGCCGGCCUACUGGUUGUAAACCGCUUUCGCAUGUGACGAAGCGUGAGUGACGGUAAUGGGUAAAGAAGCACCGGCUAACUACGUG
This 468-nucleotide ribosomal RNA is filed under the name uncultured bacterium. Its description in RNAcentral is "partial 16S ribosomal RNA". It matches the Rfam family "Bacterial small subunit ribosomal RNA", at positions 28 to 507 of the family's 1533-position model. The record is from RNAcentral.